RNAcentral lists this ribosomal RNA (412 nucleotides) under uncultured bacterium. RNAcentral describes it as "bacterial SSU rRNA". It matches the Rfam family "Bacterial small subunit ribosomal RNA", at positions 1001 to 1414 of the family's 1533-position model. The record is from RNAcentral.
CCGAAAGGUGGGGGUGCCUUCGGGAACCGGGAGACAGGUGGUGCAUGGCUGUCGUCAGCUCGUGUCGUGAGAUGUUGGAUUAAGUUCCGCAACGAGCGCAACCCUUACGCCUAGUUGCCAGCAUUCAGUUGGGGACUCUAGGCGGACUGCCAGUGUAUAACUGGAGGAAGAUGGGGACGACGUCAAGUCAGCAUGCCCCUUAUGCCCAGGGCUACACACGUGCUACAAUGGCCGGUACAGCGGGUUGCCACACAGCGAUGUGGAGCUAAUCCCUUAAAACCGGCCCCAGUUCGGAUUGGAGGCUGCAACUCGCCUCCAUGAAGUCGGAAUCGCUAGUAAACGUGGAUCAGAAUGCCGCGUUGAAUACGUUCCCGGGCCUUGUACACACCGCCCGUCACACCACCCGAGUCUG